UUUUCAAUGAUGCCAUGAAACGUCAAGCAGAUUUUAUAAAGCAGACAAGCAUUAUUGACCUUCAUUAUGAUCUUUUAAAAAUGGAGAAAUCACCAAAUCAAGAGCAUAAGAAGCAAACGUCUUCAUACAUACAUACAUACAUAUAUCAAACCAAAAGCAUCAAUGUACCAGCACUAUUCAAUCAUAUAGAAGCAUAUAAUUUUGGGAGACGCCAUGGGUUCAACGCCUAAACCUGAAACCCCAAACUUGCCCCCUUGAUAUCAUAGGCAGCAAAACCAAUAAAGACUUUCACUUGUUAUCAUAGGUGGCAAUUCUAUCCAUGAUAUUUCCUAGCACCUUCAUGGACUCUCCAAGCAAUUUGAUACUCUUGUUCAGCUUCUCACGCUUAACAGCGACUGAGGGCGAUUCCUCAAGCAUUCUUUCUAUUGCACCGCCAUGACUACUAAUCAACUCGCUAAAAAUCUCAUUUUCCAUCUUUUUGUUGACAAGAUUUUGAACACUGAACUGAAAAUGCAAGGCCACUGAAUCAACCAGCCUCCUCAAUACAAUAUUCCAGUAUGCAGUCACUCUCAUCUUCAGGUCAAAAGCUUCGUGCAGAACAUUCUGAUUAUACGCACUGAGAUUCCCAACCUCCACCUCUCCAAUACCUUCAAUCACUCCCUUAGACAUCCUAUUUUCCAGGAUGUUCCUGAAUGUAUUCUCUUUGUCCAUGAGCUUCUUCCAUUCGCUCAUGUAUUCAGGAUUGCAAGUAUAAGCUGUCACCUUCUCCAUUUGAACGAUUUCCGUAACCCAGCUGAUGGACUGCUCUUUCAUUUUUGAUAUAAGAUUAUGGCCUGCUCGUCUGGUAGAUAACUGAAGUUGGCGGUAAUUCUCAGAGUGACGCAUCAAAACAGAUACUAACACAUUUUCAAUGUAACUCCAUACUUUUUCAAUGAAAUUGACUGGCACGCUUGAUAUUCCCUCAACUUUUUUCCGCAGAAUAAUCAGGAAGGCACUGCGAGGAAGGAAAUUUGGCAGUUCAAUCCCUCUGGAUUCCUGAAGAACGUGAAUCUCCUCCAUCAAGAAGUUCCUUCUAGGGUCACUUUCGCGGCAAUUAUGAAGUUCACAUGAGUAUUGGUUGAGCAUUUCAACCAAUCUAGCAGUGCAAUGCAUAUGAUAAUCAUGAAGGUACUCAUCAUACUCUCCUCUGAUAAGGAUUUUCCUGAGAGUCUCUUUGGCUGAUCCAAAAAUGCCCAUGAAAGCUGUCAUGGCCUCAGCUGAUGAGGACAGGGUCUUAGGAAUCCUGUUUAGCUCCAAAAUGCUUGCAUUCAGCUUCUCAUCAAUCUUUCUGACUAUACCUGGCAAGCAUCUGGCUAUGAUUGAUGCUUGAAUUUGAGUCAGUUUUUGAGCCAGAACCGGAAUACCCACCAUAGAUUUAUUAAUCCUAGAGAGAAGUGGAUGAGUAUUGAACAAUUUAGCUUCUUCCUUUCGCGCUUCCUCAUAAGACUCGUCACCAAUUCGAUUCCUCACGCAAACAUAACCCAGGCCUAUAUUCACAUCAUCUGCAGUUACCUUCUCAAGUAGGCCUUCAGGUGCCUUAUCAGACUUGGUAACCACAGCAAGAGUUCUCUUGCCAUUCUUGUCCACUUGCUGUGACAUCCUAAUGGAUUCACAAGUGGAAAAAUCAACAGUUGCAGAUAAGACAUUAAGGAUGAUACUCUCUUCAGGCCUUAUGUACUCCAUGAUAAUGCCUGCAAUCUGCUCAUAAAUAUUCUCAGGCUGACCAUGAACAGGAACUCUAGUGAUUCCAGGGAGAUCAAUCAUUGUAAGAUCAGGAACACCUUUCUUUUUCACAACCAGAGUUAAUGGAGUGUUUGAUAUGCCCUUGCCAUCUCCUGCAAUCUCAUUAGUGGCAAGAUUAAUGGCAUCUGCAACGUAGGCUUCAUCAGUGUGUACUGUUUUGCCAUUGAACUCCAAGAAAAGCUCUGGUAUGGGAGUUGGGUGGUGUUUCAGCCUCAUUACAAGGGGCACCCUAGUGCAAAUGCCCAGGCCACGGGGAAGGUUGAUACCAGCUAGUGAUUCAAGAACGCUGGAUUUUCCGGAAGACUGAUCCCCUACAACAACGAUGGUAGGGAGCUGUAUACCUUCUUUCGUGACAUUGAGGAGCCUAAGUUUGUCAACUGCAUCAAGAAGUGGCCGAAUAUGAUCGUUGUAAGAUGAUACGAUGGGUGGAUGGAUUUCCAUAUUUGCAUUUUCUUCUGCAAUAUCCAAUGCAAGUGAAUCCUCUUCCUCUUUCAGCUGUUCUCGCCCAUUUGAGAAACGAUCCAUUUUCUAGGAAAGAGAGAGGAAUUGAUGAGGAAUAUGUAGUCGGAGGAUUUGGAAGUGGGAUGGAGUUCAAAAAGUAGGAAGAGAGAUUUUAUAGGGAAAGUGGAAGCGGGAGGAGAGGAACUGAGGAAGAAAUUUGCGCAGGAAAGAGAGAAUUGGCACAAGUGUUUUGGUAGGGAAAGGGGAAAAUG
RNAcentral lists this unclassified non-coding RNA (2495 nucleotides) under Hevea brasiliensis (rubber tree). The record is from RNAcentral. Lineage: Eukaryota; Viridiplantae; Streptophyta; Magnoliopsida; Malpighiales; Euphorbiaceae.